GUAGGGAGCUAGCGUUGUCCGGAAUUAUUGGGCGUAAAGGGCGCGCAGGUGGUUGGAUAAGUCACUUGUUUAAUCCGCAAGCUUAACUUGCGAUCGGCAAGUGAAACUGUUUAACUAGAGUAUAGGAGAGGAAAGUGGAAUUCCCAGUGUAGCGGUGAAAUGCGUAGAUAUUGGGAAGAACACCGGUGGCGAAGGCGACUUUCUGGACUAUUACUGACACUGAGGCGCGAAAGCCAGGGGAGCAAACGGGAUUAGAUACCCCGGUAGUCCUGGCCGUAAACGGUGAACACUAGGUGUAUCCUGAGUUAUCGGGAUGUGCCGAAGCUAACGCAUUAAGUGUUCCGCCUGGGGAGUACGCUCGCAAGGGUG
This 369-nucleotide ribosomal RNA is filed under the name uncultured bacterium. RNAcentral's name for it is "bacterial SSU rRNA". It matches the Rfam family "Bacterial small subunit ribosomal RNA", at positions 527 to 896 of the family's 1533-position model. The record is from RNAcentral.